RNAcentral lists this ribosomal RNA (510 nucleotides) under uncultured bacterium. RNAcentral describes it as "partial 16S ribosomal RNA". It matches the Rfam family "Bacterial small subunit ribosomal RNA", at positions 29 to 507 of the family's 1533-position model. The record is from RNAcentral.
ACAAACGCUUGCGGCAUGCCUAACCCAUGCAAGUCGAACGGACAGAACAGGGAAGCUUUUCGGAGUGGAACUGGAAAGUUAGUGGCGGAUGGGUGAGUAACGCGUGGACAACCUACCUUGUAAAGGGGAAUAACCUCGAGAAAUCGAAGCUAAUACCCCAUAAUAACCUUGCUUCGCAUGAAGUAAGGAGGAAAGGCGGCCUUAGCGCUGUCGAUACAAGAUGGGUCCGCGUCUGAUUAGCUAGUUGGUGAGGUAAAGGCUCACCAAGGCGACGAUCAGUAGCCGGCCUGAGAGGGUGAACGGCCACAUUGGGACUGAGACACGGCCCAAACUCCUACGGGAGGCAGCAGUGGGGAAUCUUCCGCAAUGGGCGAAAGCCUGACGGAGCAAUGCCGCGUGAGUGAAGAAGGCCUUCGGGUUGUAAAACUCUGUCCUUAUCGAAGAGAGAGUGUUGUAGUAACUGACAAUACUAGGACGGUAGAUGAGGAGGAAGCCCCGGCUAACUAGGUG